CGCACCUUAAAGGCCCUCGAAGAGAGGGAAGGGGGAUUUGCUGGAAAAGCCGAGCGCUGCCGAGCAGAGCUGGGGGGGAAAGGCUGAGGCUCCGGUUCCCCCCCACUCACUCCGGUGUUUUUGGAAAAGUCCGCUCCUGGAGGUAGCGGGCUGGGAGGAGGGAAGCGAGAGGUGGAGAAUCGCUUCUAAUCGGCUCUUGACUGUUUUCAGAGAUGUGAUCCCCUUAACGAAGCGGUGCAGGCAUCGUUUCGACGAUCCUGGCUGGGUCCUCCUUUGCUGGGGGUGGGUGGAUCUUCGCCAGACGUGGGGCUUGGUGGUGGUGGCAGGCGGGGCCGGGUGCCUGACAAGCAGGAUGGAUGAGAUUGAUUCUGUGCAGUAGACAGCUGAGCGCAGCAAAUAAAGGGAGCUGAUGCAGAGACGGGCAACCUGUGGCCCUCCAGAUGUUGUGGGACCACAACUCCAGUCGCCGCUGGAGUUGGGAGUCCAACACAUCUGGCUGGCUACUUGUUCCCGAUCAGAAUCAUAGAGUUGGAAGGGACCACGAGGAUCCUGCCUAUCCUAAUGUAUUAAGAUUCUGUCUGUGCAAAAGGAAGUUCUACUGCAUUCAGUGGGGCUUGCUCCAGGUACAGAAAGAAUAACAAUGAAGAAAACAAUGUCAAAGCCAAGGAAUUCAUUCCCAAACAUUACACAACAGCAAAUCUGCCAUGAAAAUAAAAAUAAAACAAACUCAAAGGGAAAAUUUUCUUCCCCCCCCCCCAACUCAAGUACACAUUACAGUUAUUUGUACUUCCUGAACAGCAAAAUCACUCCAGGGAGUGACUAAAAAUGAUUGCCCAACAGAAGUGGCUUUUCUAAUAAAAAGGGAACAGAAAAAUGUCACGGGACACAGCAAAGAAGAAGAUGACCUUGGCUUAUGGCAUAAGGGGGUGAUUUACAAAGCCAUCAUUUAGGACUGAUUCCCAUUUCCCAGUGGUUGGCUGGGAUCUCCCAGAAGACGCACACACUUUCAACUGCAGGUGCUAUUGCUAAGUCUGCACAACAAAUCUAUACCCAGUGGUGUAUGUAGGUGUCUGUAUUGCAAACAAACAGGACCCCACACUUGUCAACCAAUCCUAAAUCUUCUUCUUGUCAUUAUUAAAAGUUUAUUGAACUUUUA
Podarcis muralis (Common wall lizard) is the source of this 1156-nucleotide non-coding RNA. The record is from RefSeq and is a predicted model, not a curated record. NCBI's taxonomy places the organism in Eukaryota, Metazoa, Chordata, Lepidosauria, Squamata, Lacertidae.